This 88-nucleotide non-coding RNA is filed under the name Liquorilactobacillus cacaonum. RNAcentral's name for it is "Lactobacillus cacaonum TPP sequence". It matches the Rfam family "TPP riboswitch aptamer (THI element)". Rfam says of the family: Vitamin B(1) in its active form thiamin pyrophosphate (TPP) is an essential coenzyme that is synthesised by coupling of pyrimidine and thiazole moieties in bacteria. The previously detected thiamin-regulatory element, thi box was extended, resulting in a new, highly conserved RNA secondary structure, the THI element, which is widely distributed in eubacteria and also occurs in some archaea. Analysis of operon structures identified a large number of new candidate thiamin-regulated genes, mostly transporters, in various prokaryotic organisms. Lineage: Bacteria; Bacillati; Bacillota; Bacilli; Lactobacillales; Lactobacillaceae. RNAcentral also lists the same sequence under 1 other name. The record is from RNAcentral.
AUUAACAAACUGGGGUGCCUAAUGGCUGAGAAUUACCCAUUGACCUGAUCUGGACAAUACCAGCGGAGGGAGUUUUGUAUCGAUUGAU